Molecule: long non-coding RNA, 277 nt
Filed under: Felis catus (domestic cat)
Lineage: Eukaryota; Metazoa; Chordata; Mammalia; Carnivora; Felidae
Description: lncRNA (ENSFCAG00000046409.2)
Source: RNAcentral
GAUCUCUCCGCCCUGCGCUUGGAUCGGUUUCUCUUCCUGCUUCUUCUAGACGUGAGGUCAUGUGGCUGGAGGAAUCCGAACUGUGUUCAGGUCUGUCUGCUACCAGUGUCCACAAGUCCCCUCCCCUUGGAGCCACAGGAGCCCCGAAUCUGCACUUGACCUGAUUGUGCCCCUGGCAGCGUCUUGCUUGGAGACCUUGGCUAUUUGCCUAAGGUCUACUGUGCGCCCUCAUCAUAUCCCAUCACAUCUUAAGUUCUCCUUCUAAAUCUGUCUUUCC